AUCUCAUUUUCUAUUCUUGAUAAGAGUCGAUUAGAUCGAUUAUGAUUUCUAUAUAAAAUUGAUCUAGAGUAAUUAAUUGCACAGGUAAAGAAUUAUGAUAUUUUAAUCCAAAGUUCGGAGGUUAUUAUUUAUUUGAAAGAGAUCAAGAGAAGAUGAUAUGUAUUAUGGAUGGAAAGAAUGUAGUCUUGAAAUGCUAAAUAAUUCUUUACAUCAAGAUCUAGUGAAGCAAGCACUUUAAGAGGA
This 243-nucleotide long non-coding RNA is filed under the name Elaeis guineensis (African oil palm). RNAcentral describes it as "long non-coding RNA (EGUI_LNC081031)". Lineage: Eukaryota; Viridiplantae; Streptophyta; Magnoliopsida; Arecales; Arecaceae. The record is from RNAcentral.